UAAGCUGGCCUUUUUUCCAUCGACUUGCUAGUGGUAACUGCUCCGUUCUUUCAACAACUUGAGUAUUAACAGAAGCUGAAGCUGUAGGGUUCUCCAUCUAUCCAUUACUUUGAGGCGUCAAAAGAGGCACACCCGUUCAUAAGCGAUCAACUGUUCCAUUGUAUAACAAUGUCAUUGCUGUAAGAAGAAUAGCGCCCCCUCUCUGGCUAAAGAGAAACAGUUGGCAGUUUGACACUGUAAAACAACCAUCCAUUCUAGCUCUUGUGAAUCUACAUUGCUAUUACAGAAAAUAGAAUGCUGACAAAUGGACCCCAAGCGUAGUAGCUCAGUCGCACACAAUUUCCCAUGAGAUCAUAAAAGUGACGGUUGAUUUAAAAAGUCUUUACCUGCAAGUGAACGGAGGUCCGGCGAGUAAGUGAUACAGGUUACCUGCACUUGAUGGCAUUUUAGAACAUCUUACUCGGGGUCUCCGCCAGCCUACUGCACCUUUCCAGAUUGUACGCUCUUAGAAAUCUGUAAUGUCGCUGUAGAGCCCAAUCAAUGGUAUGGUCCCACUCCGAAGGUCUCCCACAUUUCCUCAAGGUCCAGAAUUUAUAAUUGGGAGAUGCCCCUGAUCAGAUAGUGCAUUGAGAUGCAUGUGUUAAUUGUGAUAGAAAAGUCCCACGUCGCAAAUUGGUAUGGAGCAAACUUUC
Long non-coding RNA from Syzygium oleosum, 692 nucleotides. RefSeq lists it as uncharacterized. NCBI's taxonomy places the organism in Eukaryota, Viridiplantae, Streptophyta, Magnoliopsida, Myrtales, Myrtaceae. The transcript has 3 exons. The record is from RefSeq and is a predicted model, not a curated record.